This 173-nucleotide non-coding RNA is filed under the name Paenibacillus dendritiformis. RNAcentral's name for it is "GlcN6P sequence". It matches the Rfam family "glmS glucosamine-6-phosphate activated ribozyme aptamer". Rfam says of the family: This entry contains a glucosamine-6-phosphate activated ribozyme that is found in the mRNA for GlmS. GlmS is an enzyme that uses fructose-6-phosphate and glutamine to generate glucosamine-6-phosphate. The record is from RNAcentral. RNAcentral also lists the same sequence under 1 other name. Lineage: Bacteria; Bacillati; Bacillota; Bacilli; Caryophanales; Paenibacillaceae.
ACUGCAUCAUAAGCGCCAGCACUUGGCACCAGCGUUCGGCAUGCUGGACAAGUGGACGAGGUGGAGGUGUUCGAAAUUGUUCGGCGGGGACCUCCCGGUGCGCCAACGGCACCGCAAUAGCAUGACGGAAAGAGGCAAGGCGACUUGCCGGACAACGCCUGCUUACGUUGACA